RNAcentral lists this ribosomal RNA (457 nucleotides) under Salmonella enterica subsp. enterica serovar Typhimurium. RNAcentral describes it as "partial 23S ribosomal RNA". It matches the Rfam family "Bacterial large subunit ribosomal RNA", at positions 62 to 558 of the family's 2925-position model. Lineage: Bacteria; Pseudomonadati; Pseudomonadota; Gammaproteobacteria; Enterobacterales; Enterobacteriaceae. The record is from RNAcentral.
UAAUCUGCGAUAAGCGCCGGUAAGGUGAUAUGAACCGUUAUAACCGGCGAUACCCGAAUGGGGAAACCCAGUGUGAUUCGUCACACUAUCAUUAACUGAAUCCAUAGGUUAAUGAGGCGAACCGGGGGAACUGAAACAUCUAAGUACCCCGAGGAAAAGAAAUCAACCGAGAUUCCCCCAGUAGCGGCGAGCGAACGGGGAGGAGCCCAGAGCCUGAAUCAGCAUGUGUGUUAGUGGAAGCGUCUGGAAAGGCGCGCGAUACAGGGUGACAGCCCCGUACACAAAAGCGCAUGUGCUGUGAGCUCGAUGAGUAGGGCGGGACACGUGGUAUCCUGUCUGAAUAUGGGGGGACCAUCCUCCAAGGCUAAAUACUCCUGACUGACCGAUAGUGAACCAGUACCGUGAGGGAAAGGCGAAAAGAACCCCGGCGAGGGGAGUGAAAAAGAACCUGAAACCG